UCGCCUGUUUAACAAAAACAUAGCUUUAUGAAAAUUUAUAUAAAGUUUUACCUGCUCAAUGAUAAUUUAAAUGGCCGCAGUACUUUGACUGUGCUAAGGUAGCAUAAUAAAUUGACUUUUAAUUAAGGUCUAGAAUGAAAGGAUAUAUGAAUAUUUACUGUCUUUAAAAAAUUUAUAUUAACUUUCUUAAAAGGUGAAAAUUCCUUUAAGUAAAUUUAAAAGACGAGAAGACCCUAGGAGUUUAAAAUAAAUAAUUAUUUUGUUGGGGCAACAUUAUAGUAAUUAAACCUAUAAUUUAAUAUUAAUUAUAAAACUAUGUUUUUAAUUGUAAAUAAGCUACCCUAGGGAUAACAGCAUAAUUUAUAUUAUUGAUAAGUUUGUGACCUCGAUGUUGGAUUAGGGACUGUUAGUAAUAAGUUUACCUAUUGACUUGUUCUGUUCGAACAUUUUAUACCUACGUGAUCUGAGUUCAGACCGGA
Molecule: ribosomal RNA, 479 nt
Filed under: Everettia jucunda
Lineage: Eukaryota; Metazoa; Mollusca; Gastropoda; Stylommatophora; Ariophantidae
Description: partial 16S ribosomal RNA
Rfam family: Bacterial large subunit ribosomal RNA
Source: RNAcentral